Molecule: ribosomal RNA, 254 nt
Filed under: uncultured bacterium
Lineage: Bacteria
Description: partial 16S ribosomal RNA
Rfam family: Bacterial small subunit ribosomal RNA
Source: RNAcentral
UACGUAGGGUGCGAGCGUUGUCCGGAAUUAUUGGGCGUAAAGGGCUCGUAGGCGGUCUGUCGCGUCGGGAGUGAAAACUCAGGGCUUAACCCUGAGCCUGCUUCCGAUACGGGCAGACUAGAGGUAUGCAGGGGAGAACGGAAUUCCUGGUGUAGCGGUGGAAUGCGCAGAUAUCAGGAGGAACACCGGUGGCGAAGGCGGUUCUCUGGGCCUGUACUGACGCCUGAGGAGCGAAAGCGUGGGGAGCGAACAGG